Molecule: ribosomal RNA, 490 nt
Filed under: uncultured bacterium
Lineage: Bacteria
Description: partial 16S ribosomal RNA
Rfam family: Bacterial small subunit ribosomal RNA
Source: RNAcentral
GAUGAACGCUCGCGGCAGGCCUAAUACAUGCAAGUCGAACGGGAUCCAGAUCAAAGCUUGCUUUGGUCUGGUGAGGGUGGCGCACGGGUGCGUAACGCGUGAGCAACCUACCCUUGUCAGGGGGAUAGCCCGGCGAAAGUCGGAUUAAUACCGCAUGACAUCAUUGAGAGGCAUCUUUCGAUGAUCAAAGAUUUAUCGGACAAGGAUGGGCUCGCGUGACAUUAGCUAGUUGGUAAGGUAACGGCUUACCAAGGCUGCGAUGUCUAGGGGCUCUGAGAGGAGAAUCCCCCACACUGGUACUGAGACACGGACCAGACUCCUACGGGAGGCAGCAGUAAGGAAUAUUGGUCAGUGGACGGAAGUCUGAACCAGCCAUGCCGCGUGCAGGAAGACGGCCCUAUGGGUUGUAAACUGCUUUUAUACGGGAACAAACGUCGGUACGUGUACCGGUCUGAGUGUACCGUAAGAAUAAGGAUCGGCUAACUCCGUG